Molecule: non-coding RNA, 71 nt
Organism: Phrynosoma platyrhinos (Desert horned lizard)
Lineage: Eukaryota; Metazoa; Chordata; Lepidosauria; Squamata; Phrynosomatidae
Source: the annotation of a GenBank genome assembly
UCCAGCGUGGUGUAGUGGUCAGAGUGUUGGACUACGACUCCAGAGACCAGGAUUCAAUUCACAGCUUGGCC